This 258-nucleotide ribosomal RNA is filed under the name uncultured bacterium. RNAcentral describes it as "partial 16S ribosomal RNA". It matches the Rfam family "Bacterial small subunit ribosomal RNA", at positions 793 to 1055 of the family's 1533-position model. The record is from RNAcentral.
GUCCACGCCCUAACGAUGUCAACUGGUUGUUGGGUCUUAACUGACUCAGUAACGAAGCUAACGCGUGAAGUUGACCGCCUGGGAGUACGGCCGCAAGGUUGAAACUCAAAGGAAUUGACGGGACCCGCACAAGCGGUGGAUGAUGUGGUUUAAUUCGAUGCAACGCGAAACCUUACCACCUUUGACAUGUACGGAAUCCUUUAGAGAUAGAGGAGUGCUCGAAAGAGAGCCGUAACACAGGUGCUGCAUGGCUGUCGU